GUGAGAUGCAAUUACUGAUUUUCAUGUUAAAACAAAAAAAAAAAUAUGGUAUAACACCUGCUGUUUUCUAAAUCUGCAGGAAUCCAAGUUAUCCAUUGUGAAUAGAAAAUGCAAGGCUCCUGAACAGACCUGGGAUCCGCCCCUGGGCAGGGCCAGCUCCUGCACACUGGAGCCUAUUGCAGGCAAUCAAGCCUGAGGGAUUUAAACCACACGUUGAUGUUCAUUCACUGCCAGUUCGUCAUCAACACAUGUUGGUAACAGGCCUUAUGCUUCAAGUUCUUGCUGUGAUCGAUCUUGUUAACACGACUCUCUUGUGCUGCAGUUGCUGUAUUCACCUUGGCUCACGCUCCACCU
This is a long non-coding RNA of Astatotilapia calliptera (eastern happy), 354 nucleotides long. The record is from Ensembl. NCBI's taxonomy places the organism in Eukaryota, Metazoa, Chordata, Actinopteri, Cichliformes, Cichlidae.